This 406-nucleotide ribosomal RNA is filed under the name Ectocarpus siliculosus. RNAcentral's name for it is "eukaryotic LSU rRNA". It matches the Rfam family "Eukaryotic large subunit ribosomal RNA", at positions 1 to 407 of the family's 3401-position model. The record is from RNAcentral. Lineage: Eukaryota; Phaeophyceae; Ectocarpales; Ectocarpaceae.
CGGACCUCCGAUCAAGCAAGAGGACCCGCUGAAUUUAAGCAUAUAACUAAGCGGAGGAAAAGAAACUAACCAGGAUUCCCCCAGUAACGGCGAGUGAAGCGGGAAGAGCUCACGUUGUAAAUCUGACUUUCGGUCCGAAUUGUAGUCUGGAGAGGCGUGACCAGCUGGAGACGGGGGCGAAGUCUCUUGGAAAAGAGCAUCAAGGAGGGUGACAAUCCCGUUCUUGCCCCCGCUUUCCAUGCGUACGGUCCGUUUUCUACGAGUCGAGUUGCUUGGGAUUGCAGCUCAAAGCGGGUGGUAAAUUCCAUCUAAAGCUAAACACGGGUGGGGGACCGAUAGCGAACAAGUACCGUGAGGGAAAGAUGCAAAGAACUUUGAAAAGAGAGUUAAAGAGUGCCUGAAAUUG